This 443-nucleotide ribosomal RNA is filed under the name uncultured bacterium. RNAcentral describes it as "partial 16S ribosomal RNA". It matches the Rfam family "Bacterial small subunit ribosomal RNA", at positions 338 to 795 of the family's 1533-position model. The record is from RNAcentral.
CCUACGGGAGGCAGCAGUGGGGAAUAUUGGGCAAUGGGCGCAAGCCUGACCCAGCAACGCCGCGUGAAGGAAGAAGGCUCUCGGGUUGUAAACUUCUUUUAUCAGGGACGAAGCAAGUGACGGUACCUGAUGAAUAAGCCACGGCUAACUACGUGCCAGCAGCCGCGGUAAUACGUAGGAGGCAAGCGUUAGCCGGAUUUACUGGGUGUAAAGGGCGUGUAGGCGGGAAUGCAAGUCAGAUGUGAAAACCAUGGCCUGAACCUGUGUCCUGCAUUUGAAACUGUUUUUCUUGAGUACUGGAGAGGCAGACGGAAUGCCUAGUGGAGCGGUGAAAUGCGUAGAUAUUAGGAGGAACACCAGUGGCGAAGGCGGUCUGCUGGACAGCAACUGACGCUGAGGCGCGAAAGCGUGGGGAGCAAACAGGAUUAGAUACCCCAGUAGUC